This 498-nucleotide ribosomal RNA is filed under the name uncultured bacterium. Its description in RNAcentral is "partial 16S ribosomal RNA". It matches the Rfam family "Bacterial small subunit ribosomal RNA", at positions 28 to 506 of the family's 1533-position model. The record is from RNAcentral.
GAUGAACGCUGGCGGCGUGCCUAAUACAUGCAAGUCGAGCGAACAGACGAGAGUGCUUGCACUCUCUGACGUUAGCGGCGGACGGGUGAGUAACACGUGGGUAACCUACCUAUAAGACUGGGAUAACUUCGGGAAACCGGAGCUAAUACCGGAUAAUAUUUAGCUUCGCAUGAAGCAAUAGUGAAAGACGGUUCUGCUGUCACUUAUAGAUGGACCCGCGGUGUAUUAGCUAGUUGGUGAGGUAACGGCUCACCAAGGCAACGAUACAUAGCCGACCUGAGAGGGUGAUCGGUCACACUGGGACUGAGACACGGCCCAGACUCCUACGGGAGGCAGCAGUAGGGAAUCUUCCGCAAUGGACGAAAGUCUGACGGAGCAAUGCCGCGUGAGUGAAGAAGGUUUUCGGAUCGUAAAACUCUGUUGUAAGGGAAGAACAAGUACGUUAGUAACUGAACGUACCUUGACGGUACCUUACCAGAAAGCCACGGCUAACUACGU